Molecule: transfer RNA, 68 nt
Filed under: Marmota monax (woodchuck)
Lineage: Eukaryota; Metazoa; Chordata; Mammalia; Rodentia; Sciuridae
Description: tRNA.Asp
Source: RNAcentral
GGAUUGUGGCUUAGUGGUAGAGUGCUUGCUUAUCACUAGUGAGUUACUGGGUUCAAUCCUCAGCACCA